Molecule: long non-coding RNA, 277 nt
Filed under: Malus domestica (apple)
Lineage: Eukaryota; Viridiplantae; Streptophyta; Magnoliopsida; Rosales; Rosaceae
Description: long non-coding RNA (MDOM_LNC014517)
Source: RNAcentral
CCAAAAGCCUGUCGUGGCGAAGUGUGUGAUUGAACCUUCUCUUGAUGAGGAUACCAGCAACUGAAGGGGAAGACUAUUAUGGCCCCAGUCCCACAAGGGACAAAUUAGUGUGCUGUCUUGAUGGCUCACCUGUUUAGGAAUUAUUGUAUUGCUCAAAGUCAUGGUUCUUGAUGGCUCACCUGUGAUAAUAAGCUUGAUUUAAACAAUAUAACUCAUCGAAUAUUCUGAUUUUUUUUUUACCAAGUUUUCCUAUUCAUUAAGGAGUUGUGUAUUGUUU